This 1443-nucleotide ribosomal RNA is filed under the name uncultured bacterium. Its description in RNAcentral is "bacterial SSU rRNA". It matches the Rfam family "Bacterial small subunit ribosomal RNA". The record is from RNAcentral.
CUAUCUACAGGCUUAACACAUGCAAGUCGAGGGGCAGCAUGGUCUUAGCUUGCUAAGGCCGAUGGCGACCGGCGCACGGGUGAGUAACACGUAUCCAACCUGCCGUCUACUCUUGGACAGCCUUCUGAAAGGAAGAUUAAUACAAGAUGGCAUCAUGAGUCCGCAUGUUCACAUGAUUAAAGGUAUUCCGGUAGACGAUGGGGAUGCGUUCCAUUAGAUAGUAGGCGGGGUAACGGCCCACCUAGUCUUCGAUGGAUAGGGGUUCUGAGAGGAAGGUCCCCCACAUUGGAACUGAGACACGGUCCAAACUCCUACGGGAGGCAGCAGUGAGGAAUAUUGGUCAAUGGGCGAGAGCCUGAACCAGCCAAGUAGCGUGAAGGAUGACUGCCCUAUGGGUUGUAAACUUCUUUUAUAAAGGAAUAAAGUCGGGUAUGGAUACCCGUUUGCAUGUACUUUAUGAAUAAGGAUCGGCUAACUCCGUGCCAGCAGCCGCGGUAAUACGGAGGAUCCGAGCGUUAUCCGGAUUUAUUGGGUUUAAAGGGAGCGUAGAUGGAUGUUUAAGUCAGUUGUGAAAGUUUGCGGCUCAACCGUAAAAUUGCAGUUGAUACUGGAUAUCUUGAGUGCAGUUGAGGCAGGCGGAAUUCGUGGUGUAGCGGUGAAAUGCUUAGAUAUCACGAAGAACUCCGAUUGCGAAGGCAGCCUGCUAAGCUGCAACUGACAUUGAGGCUCGAAAGUGUGGGUAUCAAACAGGAUUAGAUACCCUGGUAGUCCACACGGUAAACGAUGAAUACUCGCUGUUUGCGAUAUACUGCAAGCGGCCAAGCGAAAGCGUUAAGUAUUCCACCUGGGGAGUACGCCGGCAACGGUGAAACUCAAAGGAAUUGACGGGGGCCCGCACAAGCGGAGGAACAUGUGGUUUAAUUCGAUGAUACGCGAGGAACCUUACCCGGGCUUAAAUUGCAGAUGAAUUACGGUGAAAGCCGUAAGCCGCAAGGCAUCUGUGAAGGUGCUGCAUGGUUGUCGUCAGCUCGUGCCGUGAGGUGUCGGCUUAAGUGCCAUAACGAGCGCAACCCUUGUUGCCAGUUACUAACAGGUUCCGCUGAGGACUCUGACAAGACUGCCAUCGUAAGAUGUGAGGAAGGUGGGGAUGACGUCAAAUCAGCACGGCCCUUACGUCCGGGGCUACACACGUGUUACAAUGGGGGGUACAGAGGGCCGCUACCACGCGAGUGGAUGCCAAUCCCCAAAACCUCUCUCAGUUCGGACUGGAGUCUGCAACCCGACUCCACGAAGCUGGAUUCGCUAGUAAUCGCGCAUCAGCCACGGCGCGGUGAAUACGUUCCCGGGCCUUGUACACACCGCCCGUCAAGCCAUGGGAGCCGGGGGUACCUGAAGUGCGUAACCGCGAGGAGCGCCCUAGGGUAAAACUGGUGACUGGGGCUA